UAGGGAAUCUUCGGCAAUGGGGGCAACCCUGACCGAGCAACGCCGCGUGAGUGAAGAAGGUUUUCGGAUCGUAAAGCUCUGUUGUAAGUCAAGAACGAGUGUGAGAGUGGAAAGUUCACACUGUGACGGUAGCUUACCAGAAAGGGACGGCUAACUACGUGCCAGCAGCCGCGGUAAUACGUAGGUCCCGAGCGUUGUCCGGAUUUAUUGGGCGUAAAGCGAGCGCAGGCGGUUUGAUAAGUCUGAAGUUAGAGGCUGUGGCUCAACCAUAGUUCGCUUUGGAAACUGUCAAACUUGAGUGCAGAAGGGGAGAGUGGAAUUCCAUGUGUAGCGGUGAAAUGCGUAGAUAUAUGGAGGAACACCGGUGGCGAAAGCGGCUCUCUGGUCUGUAACUGACGCUGAGGCUCGAAAGCGUGGGGAGCGAACAGGAUUAGAUACCCUGGUAGUCCACGCCGUAAACGAUGAGUGCUAGGUGUUGGAUCCUUUCCGGGAUUCAGUGCCGCAGCUAACGCAUUAAGCACUCCGCCUGGGGAGUACGACCGCAAGGUUG
This 550-nucleotide ribosomal RNA is filed under the name uncultured bacterium. RNAcentral describes it as "bacterial SSU rRNA". It matches the Rfam family "Bacterial small subunit ribosomal RNA", at positions 355 to 896 of the family's 1533-position model. The record is from RNAcentral.